AAUGACGAACGGAAAGACAG
This 20-nucleotide small nuclear RNA is filed under the name Arabidopsis thaliana (thale cress). RNAcentral's name for it is "snRNA_05813". Lineage: Eukaryota; Viridiplantae; Streptophyta; Magnoliopsida; Brassicales; Brassicaceae. The record is from RNAcentral.